RNAcentral lists this transfer RNA (72 nucleotides) under Ovis aries (sheep). It matches the Rfam family "tRNA". From Rfam's summary of the family: Transfer RNA (tRNA) molecules are approximately 80 nucleotides in length. Lineage: Eukaryota; Metazoa; Chordata; Mammalia; Artiodactyla; Bovidae. The record is from Rfam by way of RNAcentral.
UCCCUGAUAGCUCAGUCGGUAAAGAAUCUGCCUGUAAUACAGGAGACCCAGGUUCGAUCCCUGGGUUGGGAA